AGACCCGGUGAGAGGUACUGGGCGAUGAGGAAGUACAGCUCCAACUCCAUGAGAGGCACCGGGCCUCAGAACCAGGAAGAUCCGGAUAAAGACACUGUCUGCACUCUACUCAGAUGCCCUUUGAGUCUAUGCGCUGUUUCUGGGCUCAUCCUCCAGCCUCAACGUGUUUGCUGCCACACAGCAUGUCCUGUGGGACUGGAGAAAUAUGGAGAAUGCAGCACACUUGCUUCCUACUGAA
This is a long non-coding RNA of Homo sapiens (human), 238 nucleotides long. The record is from Ensembl. Lineage: Eukaryota; Metazoa; Chordata; Mammalia; Primates; Hominidae.